Molecule: long non-coding RNA, 121 nt
Filed under: Ictidomys tridecemlineatus (thirteen-lined ground squirrel)
Lineage: Eukaryota; Metazoa; Chordata; Mammalia; Rodentia; Sciuridae
Description: lncRNA (ENSSTOG00000032472.1)
Source: RNAcentral
UUCUCCGUGUUCUUCCCCACACCCCUCCCUCCUUGGGAGACAAGCUUAGAAGAUUCCAGAGACAGAAGAAGUGUUGCAGAAUGCCUGCAGUUGAGGAAGCAGUAAAGAGAGCAUUAACAUU